Molecule: ribosomal RNA, 372 nt
Filed under: uncultured organism
Description: bacterial SSU rRNA
Rfam family: Bacterial small subunit ribosomal RNA
Source: RNAcentral
CAGAGGGUGCAAACGUUGUUCGGAAUUACUGGGCGUAAAGCGCGUGUAGGCGGCUAUGUAAGUCGGGCGUGAAAUCCCACGGCUCAACUGUGGAAGAGCACUCGAAACUGCGUAGCUAGAGUCCUGGAGAGGAAGGUGGAAUACUUGGUGUAGAGGUGAAAUUCGUAGAUAUCAAGUGGAACACCAGUGGCGAAGGCGGCCUUCUGGACAGUGACUGACGCUGAGACGCGAAAGCGUGGGGAGCAAACAGGAUUAGAUACCCUGGUAGUCCACGCCGUAAACGAUGAGUGCUAGGUGUCACGGGCUUUGACCCUCGUGGUGCCGCAGCUAACGCGCUAAGCACUCCGCCUGGGGAGUACGGCCGCAAGGCUA